RNAcentral lists this ribosomal RNA (253 nucleotides) under uncultured bacterium. RNAcentral's name for it is "partial 16S ribosomal RNA". It matches the Rfam family "Bacterial small subunit ribosomal RNA", at positions 524 to 776 of the family's 1533-position model. The record is from RNAcentral.
UACGGAGGGUGCAAGCGUUAUCCGGAUUUACUGGGUUUAAAGGGUGCGUAGGUGGGUAAGUAAGUCAGUGGUGAAAUCUCCGGGCUUAACCCGGAAACUGCCAUUGAUACUAUUUAUCUUGAAUACUUUGGAGGUAAGCGGAAUAUGUCAUGUAGCGGUGAAAUGCUUAGAUAUGACAUAGAACACCAAUUGCGAAGGCAGCUGGCUACACAAAUAUUGACACUGAGGCACGAAAGCGUGGGGAUCAAACAGG